Long non-coding RNA from Pyrgilauda ruficollis (rufous-necked snowfinch), 2256 nucleotides. RefSeq lists it as uncharacterized. NCBI's taxonomy places the organism in Eukaryota, Metazoa, Chordata, Aves, Passeriformes, Passeridae. The record is from RefSeq and is a predicted model, not a curated record. The transcript is spliced from 3 exons.
AUUUGUUUCUGAGGUGCCUCUCCUGAAGUGAAAAGUUGCUGCAGAGACCUACCGCACCUUAGAAGCUGAAGUGCAAUACCAUGGAAGGAGGGCUGUGUGGUUCCUGGAACAAAAUGUCACAGGAUCAAACAGAACCAUGUUUUUCCCUCUAGGAUUAUGAAACUGUGACUCUACCAGCUCAAGGAGUUGUGUUUUGUUUUGCAGAGUCAAUAUCCAGAUUAGCUCUUGUGGGGUUUACCUGACUGAUGUAUACUUUAACAAGCAGUUUCCACCUGACGGUGUUUUCCUAUUCUCCUAACCUUUAGUUGUGACAACACUUGAGGGCAUGCAGCAGUGGAGCCAAAAGUGUUUGGUAGUACCUUCAUCUCAGCAGGACAAGGAAAGAGUUGCAAAGGCUUUCUGCUUCAUUCCUUCUGCCUCUUGGGCGCAACCCCAGCCAUCAGUUUGGAGUGCUGCAGCAUUUGUAAACUCGGUGAGAGAACUGGAUAUGAUUCCCAGGGCUCCAGAUGGCACCUGCCAGAUGGAAGUUCAUAUUGUCUUAAGAUGCUGGCGUUGAUGCCAUGGUGUUCGAGAAUGCAAUAACAUUUUGUGGUGGAUUUUCUUACUAGAUAAACUUGUUUGGGAAAAGAGACUGACCUCAGCCUAGCUACAACCUUCUUUCAAGCAGCUGUAGAGAGUGACAAGACCCCUCUGAACCUCCUCUUCUCCAGGCUAAGUGACCCCAGCUCCCUCAGACACUCCACACAGGACUCACUCUCCAGACCCUUCCCCAGCUCCGUUGCCCUUCUCUGGACUCGCUCCAGUACCUCAAUGUCUUCUCUUGUCAUGAGAGGCCCAAAACUGGACACAGGAUUUGAGGUGUGGCAAUCCCUGCGCUGGUCCUGCUGGCUGCACUAUCCUUGGUUCAAGCCAGGCUGCCAUUGGCCUUCUUGACCACCUGGGCUCACGCUGGGCCCACAUUUGCCUGCUGUCCCCAGGUCCUUUUCUGCUGGGCCACUUUCCAGCCACUGUGCCCCAGCCUGUGGCGCUGCAUGGCAUUGUUGUGACCCAAAUGCAGGACCCAACAUUUUGCCUUGUUGAACCUCAGACCAUGGGCCUUGGCCCAUCGACCCAGCCUGUCCAGAUUCCCCUGCAGAGCCUUCCAUCACUCCUGCUCACCUUAGUGUUGUCCAUGAACUGACUGAGGAUGCACUCAAUCCCCUCAUCUGCAUCAUCAAUAAAGAUGAACAAUAAAGAACAGGACUGGUCCCACUGCUGAGCCCUCUGGAACCUCUUGUGACUUACCAACAACUGGAGGUAGCACCAUUCAUCACCACUCUCUGGGAUUAGCCAUCCAACAAGUUUUUUACCCAGUGCACCUGUCCAAGCCAAGAGCAGCUGGUUUCUCUAGCUCUGGGAAAUCAUAAUGAAAAGAAGAUGGUGGCAGGUUUUUUUCUUCUUGAUAAUUUCUAGAUUAAAUUAUUUCAGUCAGGGGUACUCUCUUUUUUUAAGAAAGUCACUAUUUAUUAUUAUAUUCUUCUAGAGCCCACUUUUCCCCUUCUGUGUCCAUCUCUGCCCCUGUGUGCUGGAUGGGCCUGGGAUGUGCAAAGCAUUGAGAUGCUGUCCUGGAUGGACCCUUCACUUCUACAUCAGAGUUUGCCAUGCAUAAUGCUGGUCUUAACACUGCAUAACUAUUCUAUUUUAUUAAUAGAAUCAUAGAAUGGCCUGGGUUGGAAACUUUAAACAUCACGUAGUUUCAAUUCUCCCUCUGUAGACAGAGGAAUUUGUCUUACUUUCACUAGACCAAGUUUCUCAGAGCUUCAUCCAACCUGGCCUUAAAUGCUUCCAGGGACGGAGCAUCCAUAACUUUUUGGAGCAUUCUAUUCCAGUGCCUCACCACCCUCACAGUAAGGAUUUUCUUCUGUUCCAUUCUCUUCCCUGUACUCACAAUUAAUUGAAUAAAAAUUACACCAUUAUUUUCACGAAAUGUCAAGCGUUUGUGAGCUACAAAAACCACUUUCAAGAAGACAAAUCAAAAAGGUUACAAGUGGAAACAGGGUUUUAUUUUCCUGAAUCUGUUUCAGAGUUGAUGCUCACAAGUAUUAAAACAAUGUGCAUGUGUGGUCAGGCAGGCUUGUAGCAUUUCAGAAGUCUCUUGCAUUUGUUGCAGAGAGUGUUUGAAUUGCUGGUGUUAAUUAACAUUAAUAUGUCUAGUCUGAGGGUUUACUUGUUGCAUUACUCUUGAAUGUAACAUUUUGAUUGCUGCUUAAUUCCAUA